Molecule: long non-coding RNA, 4744 nt
Filed under: Sus scrofa (pig)
Lineage: Eukaryota; Metazoa; Chordata; Mammalia; Artiodactyla; Suidae
Description: lncRNA (ENSSSCG00000059326.1)
Source: RNAcentral
GGGUCGAAUUGGAGCUGCAGCUGCUGGCCUAGACCAUAGCCACAGCCAUGCAGGAUUUGAGCCAUGUCUGUGAUCUACAUCACAGCUCACGGCAAUGCUGGCUCCUUUAACCCAAUGAGCGAGGCCAGGGAGCGAACCUGUGUCCUCACGGAUGCCAGUCAGAUUUGUGUCUACCGAGCCACAAUGGGAGCGCCCGAGUUUUUUCAUUAGGGAAAUUAUUUUGCAAAUAGUUAGCAGCCAAGGUGCCACUCUGCCUUUGUACAAGCUUAUGGCAAAGUUGGGAGGGAUUUUGAUGGAUUUGUCCAUAUCUUGACAUCGUGCUUCUUCAGUGCUGGUCAGUUGUAUCACUCAACCACCAACCUAUUACGUUAGGUAACUAGGAAGAGUUUCAAAACAUUCAGAAAGGUAAAAAAUAGUUACAAUAAAACCAUUGUCUGUCUUUAAUAUUUAAUAACUUAUCACUAUUAGCCAUGUGUCUUCCACUUGUUCAUUUUUUUUGCCAGUUUUAAAGAAAAUUAGACUUGAUCUCACCUCGUAUUUAUUAUACCUAUUCAAAUGAACAAUUCUUCUCAAUAUCACCUAACACCUACUCCAUAUUCAAACUUCUGGAACUAGAGAGCAUUUAGAAAUUAAACCAGGAUUUAAUCGAGGAGCUGGCAUUGUAAUGUCUCUCAAUUUAGACCAGUCUCCCGAUCUUUUAUAUUUUUUAAUGGCAUUGCCCUUUUUGAAGAAAUCAGGCUUAGUGUAUGCUGCCUGUUCUUGAUUUGUCUUACUGUUUCUCCAUGGUGUCGUUUAGCUAGUAUUGACUUUGCUUCUGAGACAAUUAUUAUUUAUGCUGACCCUUCUUAGUCCAGAGGCUCCUGAAUUUCCUCAGUUCACAAUGCCCUUGAUGUCUCAUUUUUUUUCCAGUGUUCUUAGGUCUUAACCCUGAACUAAUUGUUCAUUAAAUAGGUCCAAAAAAUUGUUUCCUAAUAACUUCAUAACUGAUUUAACAUUUGAAAUUAUUUCUAUUUCACUCAAAAAUAACCAAAUUACUAAUAGAAUGGUGUACCUGCGGGUUCUAGCCAGCUUCUCCAACCUUAGAAUCAGAUGGAUGCCACCAUCCUUAGUUAGGUCCUGCCCCACAGUGAUUUUUGUGUGCUAUUUCCUCUUCAGCACAGCAACCACUGAAAACCCAGUAUAGAAAGAUAUGACUCCCUCAGAAGGAAUGUAGCAUGAUCUAGUGUUGAAACCUUGAACUACCUUAGCUAAUUCAAUGCCAACUGCCCCCAUGUUUCCCUUGAAAACUGGGAUGUCCUCUGGCACUCCUGUCAGUUUACUGUGGUGCUUGGGUGCCUUGGUGGGCAGUUUGGGAACCGUAGUAUGAAUCCAGCAUCUGACCACCUCAGCUGCAAGGAUUACAAAUGGCCUGAAGACAAAAUGAACAAGCACAGGUUUGUCUCAACUAGAUGGACAGAGAACACCUCCUUACCUAGAGCAGGUCUUCCUAACCUCACCAUGCUUCAGAAACAUCUGGGGACCCUAUCACAGCAAACACUCCUGGGCACCGCCCCCACCCCCACCCCCACCCCAGGGGACUUGAUCCGGGUUUCAGGUGCCUGUUUAAGAAAGGAGCAUCCUUGGUGGUUUAAGUAACCCAAAGCCCACUGUGUUCCGACAAGUCCUCUGAGGUCAUCUCUGACCCAGAGUUCACUGUCAAGAGAAGAAAAUGAAAGACGGUGGGAUAAAGGUUCAAUGAAUAAGGCCUGGGUCUGGAUCUAGCCAAUAGAGUGAGUUCAGUGGCUUUGUGAAUACCCCUUGCUAGAAAACCUGUUCUCUUGGAUAGGCGCAUCUCACGUGACAGUCCCAGAGUGCCAGGCAGUUCGGGACCCAGAGAGGAGCAAGGUCAGCCCUGCCUGUGUGUCUGCAGCUACUGAGAGGGAAGGGACAUGACGGUAACUCCAAGUGUCAGGGUGGAUUUAAACCCCGUCGUUGCAGUUUCCUCCCCUCCCCCUCCCUGGACCAAAUAAGGACAUUUCCCCCUCCCCCACAAUGUCCAUAGGCAGGGGGAGGUGAGGGUGCUUUUUCCAGGAAAAUCUCGUAUUUCCUUGGUGAAUUAUCUACACUUCUUGACUGAAGUGUUGGGAGCUGGCCUCUGCCAGGAGGCCCAGCUGCAACCCCUGCUCUUGACUUCAGUGCUUUUCCAGUUCCCUUCUCAGAAACUGCAGUUGUGAAUCUGAGAAGCAGCCGUCGGAAUUCUGGUUGAUCAAGGUUAAAUCAUUCUCCUCCAAAGCUUCCACCCACUCAAAUGUUUGGGGCACCUCUUGUACACCGGGCCCUGGGUGGGUUCUUCUGGGUCAUUUCCUUUGACUUCCCACAGCCAGCUCCCAGCCUGUGGGGGUUGGGAAGGUGCGGAGCCCAGACCCAGAGGCCGGGUGCCCCUUGGGGAGAAGUCAGACAGUAUCCCCAGGGCCUCAGGUAGGAGGAGAACCCCUGUCUCCCUCGAGACACCCAAGCAGAGGCUGGACUGCCUCCCAUGGGAUGUGGGACCUGUGAUUAGACUAGCGGAACCCUGAAGCCUCUUGCACCUCUGGGAGGCCAUGGGGUUCAUGUUCUGGAAGAUGCUUCAAGAACAGCAGGAACGCCAAUCUUCAUUUUCAUCCUGAAUAAAAGCAGGAAAUGAGCUUAAAGGGUGAUUUGAGAAAAAAAAUAGCCCUGAAGAUAUUUGUUCUCAGCAUUUGUACAAGCUAUUAAGUCUGGGCCACAGAGCAUUUUGAGGACACCAUCAAAAGAAACAAUUGCAUUGGCAUCAUAAAUAAAUAUGAAUCCCUGAGCUCUCCUCUGGAAACAGCUGCCCCCAAGAAUCCCAUCGCGGCCAGCUGGUCACCACCCCACACACAGAAAGGAUUCUUUCCAGCCCACAGAGCCCAGGUUGAGCCCCAUCACACAGAAAGUGGGGGAGGAGAGAAGCCGGGCAGGGCAUGAGGGAGGCGGGUGGGAGAGAAACGGAUUUGAACACGUCCCCAGAGCUUGUUUGGAUCUCCUUCACGGUUUGGGGGAAAUAAAAACACAUCCGACGGUGCCCUUUCAACUGUGCAAUGGUGCUGAGACUCAGUUGUGGAGGUUCAGGUUUUAUCAAGGCUACCUGAUUAACCCUUGCGCUCCAUGCAGGGUGGCUGGUGGGAUUAGCACCGUGGAGGAGCUAAGGCUUGGUGUCUUAAGCUGCAAUUUCUGGCUCCCUAAACAACCACCUGCAUCCUAGAGACCCGAAAGCCCUCACUUUUCCAAAGUGAUCGCCUUUGAGCUUUGCCAGGAUCCAGUGAUGGAACACUGGUGUUGAUGUGUGCAUGGAGCCGAUGUGAAAGGUAAGGCUCAGAGGCACAUGACAGCUCCGUGAAGAACUCGGGGGUAUUGAAGCUUAUUUUUUUCCCCCUCAAUCUGGUGCUUUGUCCACUGCCUGUCAUGUGAGCCCCAGGAUCUCUUAACCAUCUGAACCUGGACAUAGAGUCACCAACUUCGUUCAGUUUCACGAUCCCCAGAGAAACCCUCCAGUAACUUUGGAACACUGGCUGAAUUGUCAUUCUGUUUUCUUCCCGAGCCUUUUUUGGCUUGGUUGUCAGCACUUUUUAAAAGCCCAUUGGGUUGUUUGUGAAAAUGAGUGACAGUGCAUUUGUGAAAGCCUCAUGUGGGUGGCAGCAUUCUCUCUCUUCUGCAUACAGGAAGCAACGAUGCCCCUGAUCACACCUGUCCCGUCUGGAUGUACCCAUCGGCCCCUCAGAGCCAUUGCUGUUCAUGGUGUUCUCGGCUCAGACUGGAGAGAGGGGAGGGUGAGGGAGCCAGGGCUUUGGUCUCACCAUGCUGUUGACACAGAGCCGAGCAAGGGCGCUGUUGGUGAAGUUCAUAUUUCCAUUCUGUUGUUGUUGUUGGGAGGUGGGGGAGGGCCAACAUACAUUGCAACUGAGAGAUGAAGCCUUCUAUGGUUUCACUUGCAGCAAGUUCAAAGGCUGUGUUAAGGAAAAUUGCAGGUGCUGGUUCUGUGGUAUUUGGAGUUUAGAUGAAAAAGCAAAGCAAACAAACUUCUUGGCAGCUCAUGUCAAAGAGGGGCUGGCUUGUGGAUCACCCUUUCCAACAGGAACCCUCCUUCUGUGGGUCCCAGAGGAAGCAAGGGCAGUGGAGGGGGCAGAAGGAGCAGAAAGAACAAAUAUAUGGAGACCCCCCUCACUCACCCAGUUUUUUUUAAAUGGAAACAGGUAGGAGAAUAGAUCAGGCAUCAUGUUGGAAGAUUUUACGAGAUGCCACAGAAGGAAAGAAUUUUCUGAUGUUCCAGUGUUGCUUAAGUUCAAGCUGUAGAAACCACAGGGUUUCUUCCGAGGUGGAACCAGUUCACUGGGCUAUGUUUUCCUUUAAUGUAGAAAGGACGGGUUCCAAGAGGCAAAAUGUAAAGUAGCAGAGAGAUCUAGAGUGGGAAGGGGCCAGCUGAUCUCGUUAUUCCUUCAUGUCAGAUGCUGAGAGGCAGAGAUCAUCUGACCUCCCCCUGGGUUUCUGCCCAGCCCCCCUCCCCUACUACGCCGCCCCCCCAACUAUGCCACCCCCCCGUCACCACUCUCCCCCGUCAGCUUCCCUUAGUAGAGGCUGGCAGAGCACCUGGGGCUUUGAUGCCCGGUCCUGUCUCCUUUCCAUCUCACCUCUGGGUCUUUAGAGAUUUCACUUUCAUGCACACUGUUUAAGGCUUCCCCUUAAACAGAUAUGCCUCAAGUAUUUUCCU